AACGAACGCUGGCGGCAGGCCUAACACAUGCAAGUCGAACGCUUCAGCAAUGAAGAGUGGCAGACGGGUGAGUAACGCGUGGGAACCUUCCCAGUGGUACGGAAUAGCCCAGGGAAACUUGGGGUAAUACCGUAUAAGCCCUUAGGGGGAAAGAUUUAUCGCCAUUGGAUGGGCCCGCGUCGGAUUAGCUUGUUGGUGAGGUAAAAGCUCACCAAGGCGACGAUCCGUAGCUGGUCUGAGAGGAUGAUCAGCCACACUGGGACUGAGACACGGCCCAGACUCCUACGGGAGGCAGCAGUGGGGAAUAUUGGACAAUGGGCGCAAGCCUGAUCCAGCCAUGCCGCGUGAGUGAUGAAGGCCUUAGGGUUGUAAAGCUCUUUUGGCGGGGACGAUAAUGACGGUACCCGCAGAAUAAGCUCCGGCUAACUUCGUG
RNAcentral lists this ribosomal RNA (433 nucleotides) under uncultured bacterium. Its description in RNAcentral is "bacterial SSU rRNA". It matches the Rfam family "Bacterial small subunit ribosomal RNA", at positions 29 to 507 of the family's 1533-position model. The record is from RNAcentral.